This 442-nucleotide ribosomal RNA is filed under the name uncultured Planctomycetota bacterium. RNAcentral's name for it is "bacterial SSU rRNA". It matches the Rfam family "Bacterial small subunit ribosomal RNA", at positions 329 to 789 of the family's 1533-position model. Lineage: Bacteria; Pseudomonadati; Planctomycetota. The record is from RNAcentral.
UGCACCACUCCUACGGGAGGCUGCAGCAACGAAUAUUCCGCAAUGGACGCAAGUCUGACGGAGCGACGCCGCGUGCAGGAAGAAGUCCCUCGGGAUGUAAACUGCUGUCAGGGGUGAGGAAAAAUGACCAGCCCCAGAGGAAGCAUCGGCUAACUCCGUGCCAGCAGCCGCGGUAAUACGGAGGAUGCGAGCGUUGUUCGGAAUCACUGGGCUUAAAGCGCGUGUAGGCGGCUUGUUACGUGUCGGGUGAAAUCCCUCGGCUCAACCGAGGAACGGCCCGGCAAACUGGCUUGCUUGAGGUACGUAGAGGUGACUGGAACGACGGGUGGAGCGGUGAAAUGCGUAGAUAUCCGUUGGAACGCCGGAGGCGAAAGCGGGUCACUGGGCGUAUCCUGACGCUGAGACGCGAAAGCGUGGGUAGCAAACAGGAUUAGAUACCCUA